CUCUGUGUAUCCCUGGCUGUCCUGGAAAUC
Molecule: non-coding RNA, 30 nt
Filed under: Cricetulus griseus (Chinese hamster)
Lineage: Eukaryota; Metazoa; Chordata; Mammalia; Rodentia; Cricetidae
Source: RNAcentral